Molecule: transfer RNA, 97 nt
Filed under: Candidatus Nitrosocaldaceae archaeon
Lineage: Archaea; Thermoproteati; Nitrososphaerota; Nitrososphaeria; Candidatus Nitrosocaldales; Candidatus Nitrosocaldaceae
Description: tRNA-Leu
Rfam family: tRNA
About the family: Transfer RNA (tRNA) molecules are approximately 80 nucleotides in length. Their secondary structure includes four short double-helical elements and three loops (D, anti-codon, and T loops).
Source: RNAcentral
GCAGGGGUAGCAAAGCCUGGUUAACUGCGCGGGACUCAAGAUCUUAUGGGUGAUCCCGUCCCUUAGGGGUUCGUGGGUUCAAAUCCCACCCCCUGCA